AUUGAACGCUGGCGGCAUGCCUUACACAUGCAAGUCGAACGGUAACAGGUCUUCGGAUGCUGACGAGUGGCGAACGGGUGAGUAAUACAUCGGAACGUGCCUAGUAGUGGGGGAUAACUACUCGAAAGAGUGGCUAAUACCGCAUGAGAUCUACGGAUGAAAGCAGGGGAUCGCAAGACCUUGUGCUAUUAGAGCGGCCGAUGGCAGAUUAGGUAGUUGGUGGGAUAAAAGCUUACCAAGCCGACGAUCUGUAGCUGGUGUGAGAGGAGGAUCAGCCACACUGGGACUGAGAAACAGGCCAGACUCCUACAGGAGUCAGCAGUGGGGAAUUUUGGACAAUGGGCGCAAGCCUGAUCCAGCAAUGCCGCGUGCAGGAUGAAGGCCUUCGGGUUGUAAACUGCUUUUGUACGGAACGAAAAGCCCCGGGUUAAUACCCUGGGGUCAUGACGGUACCGUAAGAAUAAGCACCGGCUAACUACGUGCCAGCCGCCGCAGUAA
This 498-nucleotide ribosomal RNA is filed under the name uncultured bacterium. RNAcentral describes it as "partial 16S ribosomal RNA". It matches the Rfam family "Bacterial small subunit ribosomal RNA", at positions 30 to 523 of the family's 1533-position model. The record is from RNAcentral.